GUAUUAGGUUGGUGCAAAAGUAAUCGCGGCUUUUGCCAUUACGUUUAACAGCAAAAACCACGAUUCUUUUUGCACCAACCUAAU
Molecule: microRNA precursor, 84 nt
Organism: Aotus nancymaae (Ma's night monkey)
Lineage: Eukaryota; Metazoa; Chordata; Mammalia; Primates; Aotidae
Source: Ensembl